Xenia sp. Carnegie-2017 is the source of this 338-nucleotide long non-coding RNA. RefSeq lists it as uncharacterized. The transcript has 2 exons. The record is from RefSeq and is a predicted model, not a curated record. Lineage: Eukaryota; Metazoa; Cnidaria; Anthozoa; Malacalcyonacea; Xeniidae.
UAUCGACAACGUUUAUGACAAGGGAGACAUUGUGACUCUUAGAUACCACUUGACGUCGCAUGGAAAAGAUUGCAGUGUCCUUGCAACUGUCCGAGCAAUCAUCGUUUGGAAAAAGAUCAAGGGCAAAUACUUGAUUCACAAUCUUGUUUCAAAUGUGCGAGAGAACCUCUGUCCGCCGACGUCAUGAUUGUUGAACUAAACAUUGGAGAAGACAAGACACUACAUUUAUUUGUCAUAUUAUGUAGCCUGAUUUUCUAGAUAAAAUGAGCUUUGGAGACCAUAACCGUUGUAGACUUUCAUUUUGAAACAUCUUUAUUACAAAAUUUUCUUGUCUCCGU